This is a long non-coding RNA of Aphis gossypii (cotton aphid), 442 nucleotides long. RefSeq lists it as uncharacterized. The transcript is spliced from 2 exons. Lineage: Eukaryota; Metazoa; Arthropoda; Insecta; Hemiptera; Aphididae. The record is from RefSeq and is a predicted model, not a curated record.
AUUAUUAUUAUUAUUAUUAUUAUUAUUAUUAUGUAUUUGUGAUGUUAUUAUAAUAUGAAUGCUUCCCGUGAUCUGUUACCAAAAUGACAAAUUUAUUACCACUCAACGGUCGCGUACGACACAAUGAUGUUGACUUGACAGAUUCGUCGGCGCGGUCCGCUGAAAUUUCUGCAGUCGAAUUGCGCUCGUAAACGCCUAUUGCACCACGAUGCAAUUAACUGUUGGUAUAAAAUGAAACUAUAUAGGAAAAAUGAAGAUUUUAUUUGGAUAAGACUACCGGUGUGACACUUCACAUUUUUGUUUUAUUCAAAUGAAAAUAUACAUUAUUUUUUCAAAGAUUAAUCCACAAUUCAGUACAACAAUCACGUAUUGGUUAAGCUCUAUGUAAUGUAAAUAUAUUUGCACAUUUUUAUUAUAAAUUAUAAAAAAAAAGACAUUGAAA